GUGCUCGCUUCGGCAGCACAGACACAAAAACUGGAACGAUAGGGAUUAGCACGGCCCCCGCACAAGGAUGACAUGCAAAUGCGUGAAGCGUUACACAUUUAA
This is a small nuclear RNA of Myotis daubentonii (Daubenton's bat), 102 nucleotides long. Lineage: Eukaryota; Metazoa; Chordata; Mammalia; Chiroptera; Vespertilionidae. The record is from RefSeq and is a predicted model, not a curated record.